RNAcentral lists this long non-coding RNA (1009 nucleotides) under Nicotiana tabacum (common tobacco). Its description in RNAcentral is "long non-coding RNA (NTAB_LNC012722)". The record is from RNAcentral. Lineage: Eukaryota; Viridiplantae; Streptophyta; Magnoliopsida; Solanales; Solanaceae.
AGGGAGUCUUCAGCAAGUUCAUACAAGAACAUGUAUGAUAAUAACGUGAGGUACUUCAAUAAAAAUUCAUACGAGACAUCUUAGCAUAACAGCAACAGGAUUUUGAUUUCUAAGGGAGUACGGUUCAAUCUUUCUCAAGAAUAUCAUACGGAUUCUCCCCUACUUCGAUCCGCCAUUACGUGUUUUAUCACAAAAAACAUGUGUUAGAGGGAUUAUCAAGAGAAUCAGUUCAGGUAUGUUAAGUCUGUCCCUUCUUUCUUUUUGGCAUGAUCCAUAUGAUACAAACGAAACGAGUAAAUGCAAAAUUUUCAUAAAUGACUCUAUUAAUAGAAGUACUAGGGGUGUCUAUAUUCUUGAUUUACCAAAUGAAUUAUUAUUAUAUCUUCUUUUCAUGGGUCUCAGAAAAAUACGUAUUUGAUAAAGUUUAUCCGAAAGGCAUAUUGAUCUUAUGACAUACCGAGAAAUCUUAUUAACGUAUUUCUUAUGCAUUUCAUGCAUUUAUACAUGUACACUGACCCAUGACCAGAUGGCGUUAUAUACGCAUAUAUUAUAUGUAUAUGGGAUAUGGAAAAAUGUUAUGGCGUUAUAUGCGCACCACCACCUGAUCAGCUGGUAUACGUUGAUGAUUUGCCCAUAGUGGCCGAGAUGAUAUGAUAGGAUGCCCUUAGAGGCUUGAUGAUGUUAUGAACGCAUAUACCUAUGCAUGGUAUAACAUUUAUACGCAUAUGCAUGAUAUUAUAAAUAUUAAAUGACUCACAAAGCUAUUCAAAUUUGCAUGUCGAGUCUUUUACUCCAUGUCUCUCAUGUCUAUUAUUUACUUAUUUUUAUUCCUUACAUACUCUGUACAUUAUUUGUACUGACGUCCAGUUUUUGCCUGGGGACGCUGCGCUUCAUGCCUGCAGGUUCCGAUAUAUAGGUCGAGAGUCCUCAAAGUAGGCUAUCAGCUCAGCGGGAGAUAUUGGUGUGCUCUAUUUGCUCCGGAGUUGCCUAUUUAGUUAGUAUGCAUUGG